CGCUCAUUCUCAGCCUGAACUUGGUUGCCCCCCCCCCACCCCCCCACGUAGCUUCCUUCUUGCUGUUCUGGGCCUCCGUCCUAAGGGAGGCUUCUCCAGAACUGAACUCCCCGGACGUCCUGGAUCAGCUCCGGCGGCAGUUUCCCAGGUGACGGCCGCGCUCAGGGGCUGGAGGUCCCGCUGUGGCCCCCGGAGGGAGAGAGCGUCCCGUCCGCGCUCUCGGUGGCCCCGGAGCCCCUCGCCCCAAAGACAGAACGAGUAAUGGCAGGCGGGGAGCCGCCUUGGAGCCCGAAGCAAACGGAAAGCC
This 307-nucleotide long non-coding RNA is filed under the name Lynx canadensis (Canada lynx). RNAcentral's name for it is "lncRNA (ENSLCNG00005002793.1)". Lineage: Eukaryota; Metazoa; Chordata; Mammalia; Carnivora; Felidae. The record is from RNAcentral.